Molecule: non-coding RNA, 210 nt
Organism: Oryza glaberrima (African rice)
Lineage: Eukaryota; Viridiplantae; Streptophyta; Magnoliopsida; Poales; Poaceae
Source: Rfam
AAUAAGUGUAUUUUUAGUACUGUUCAUGUCUAACGUUUGACCAUUCGUUUUAUUUAAAAAAAGAUUAUGAUUAGUAUUUUUAUUGUUAUUAGAUGAUAAAACAUGAAUAGUACUUUAUGUGUGACUAAUUGUUUUAAUAUUUUUCAUAAAUUUUUUAAAUAAGACGGAUGGUCAAAACGCUGAGCACGUAUACCUAUGGCUACACUUAUU